Molecule: ribosomal RNA, 397 nt
Filed under: uncultured bacterium
Lineage: Bacteria
Description: partial 16S ribosomal RNA
Rfam family: Bacterial small subunit ribosomal RNA
Source: RNAcentral
AUACGUAGGGGGCGAGCGUUGUCCGGAAUGAUUGGGCGUAAAGGGCGCGUAGGCGGCGCGGUAAGUCUGGAGUGAAAGUCCUGCUUUCAAGGUGGGAAUUGCUUUGGAUACUGCCGCGCUUGAGUGCAGGAGAGGUUAUCGGAAUUCCCGGUGUAGGGGUGAAAUGCGUAGAGAUCGGGAGGAACACCAGUGGCGAAGGCGGGUAACUGGACCGCAACUGACGCUGAGGCGCGAAAGUGUGGGGAGCAAACAGGAUUAGAUACCCUGGUAGUCCACACUGUAAACGAUGAAUGCUAGGUGUAAGAGGUAUCGACCCCUUUUGUGCCGGAGUCGACACAAUAAGCAUUCCGCCUGGGGAGUACGGCCGCAAGGUUGAAACUCAAAGGAAUUGACGGGG